CUGGUAGUUCUUCAUCCAACUCCAAAAGGUUGCGUUCGAAGGAUGAGUCUGAUCCUUCACUUGGUGGCUCUAGGCGUUUGCGAUUUAGUGGUCGUGUGCCCAUGCGGCCUGAACCCAAACCCAGAAAGGGGUGCUCAACAAAAUGCCGUCAUGAUGGAGUAAGGCCCUAUGCAACAGAUGCCAUAAGUGCCUACAACGAAGCAUCAGGCACAAAAUAUGAGCUGGUGGAGCCUGGUUUUCUUACAUCUGUGUUACUUAAGUCAUUUUAUUAUUCACCGCAUCGACUUCACGGCUAAAAAGACUGAUGUUGCUGAUGCUCCAGAGGAGAUGUUUUUUUGCUGAACUAACAACACACGUUGCCAAUCAAUGGGGCCAAAAAACUUAAUAUAGGAGAUGAAAACUAUGGCUGCCGUUAUUGCGUAACAAACAAUGUUCGGCAUCCUAGUGGUGGAGGAUUCAUGACUGGCCGCGCGUGAUGAAUAAAAACUUUAUCUAUGGCUUGUCGACAGUGAACCUUUUGUGAACAUAACUGUGUAUUGAAAUUAACUUGGAGUCUUACUAUGUAUGACGCAAGCAUAGUUGCCUUU
Molecule: long non-coding RNA, 587 nt
Organism: Papaver somniferum (opium poppy)
Lineage: Eukaryota; Viridiplantae; Streptophyta; Magnoliopsida; Ranunculales; Papaveraceae
Exons: 4
Source: RefSeq, a predicted model, not a curated record